Molecule: RNA transcript, 1421 nt
Organism: Amaranthus tricolor (Joseph's coat)
Lineage: Eukaryota; Viridiplantae; Streptophyta; Magnoliopsida; Caryophyllales; Amaranthaceae
Gene name: E3 ubiquitin-protein ligase BIG BROTHER-like
Exons: 10
Source: RefSeq, a predicted model, not a curated record
UUUCUCUAUUUUCUGAUUCUCUUCUUCUCUCACUCACACUUUUCAUAGGAGAAGUAACCAAACCCCAAACCACCCAACAAUUAAAAACAAAAUAAAAUUAAAUCCAAUCCAACAUUUCUCUUCUCUCUCUCUUUAUAUUUUGAUUUAUGAGCAUCCGCAUUGUUCAACAAACAUACAUUAAAGAUUCAAAAGUCACUACAAAUUAUUCUUUCACAAUCUUACACCUAUCAAAUGUGUAUUUGGUAAUGGAAAUUGAAAGGUGAUGCAUUAUUGAGUAUUCUGUCAUCACUGAUAGAUCUAUGCUUUUGAAUUUGUUGAUAUAAUUGGAUCAUACAGUACAAGAUUGCUCAAAUGAAUUGGAAUCAUCACAUGGAUGCUCAUUAUAUUGGGAGCAAUAUUCCUUACAAUAGUGAUGGAAGUUUCAUGGAUUUCUUUGCUGGUCUUACUUAUGAUCAUGUGAAUUUCAUCUUUUCUGGUUCACAAAUGCAGGAUAGUGUAUAUUCACCAGUUAAUUUGGGUUAUUAUAAGUUUGGGUAUUCAGAUCCCGGACCUACUCAAUACUACAACAAUAGUCAAUCUUUUGAGGUCUUUGAUCACAUUGUCAGUAUGGAUGAAUACGCUCGAAGGCCUGCUGAUUUUGCUUCUAGUGAGCAAACAGCUACUACAAAUCAGCAAUCAGAAAGAAUGCCAAAUGUGCAUGUAAAUACGAGCAAUCGAGACUGUCCUAGAAGUCAUCAUAAUUCUCAAGAUUAUCAGGCUGUAUGGCAAGACAAUAUAGAUCCAGACAAUAUGACUUAUGAGGAAUUACUCGAGCUGGGUGAAACAGUUGGAACUCAUAGUCGCGGACUUUCCCAAGAACAGAUUUCCUUGCUUCCAGUCUCAAAGUUCAAAUGUUGUUUCCUCUUACGAAGAAAGUUCCGAUCUGAAAGAUGUGUAAUAUGUCAGAUGGAAUAUAAACGUAGAGAUCGUCUUAUGACACUUCCGUGCAAACAUAAGUAUCAUGUGGGAUGCGGAACCAAAUGGCUUAGCAUCAAUAAGGCUUGCCCAAUUUGUUACACGGAGGUUUUUAUCGAUACACACAAGAAGUUUAAGUAGUAGCUAUUUGGGUUAGCAUAAGAAUGUUCAUUUGUUAUUCUUUUUUCGACUUGGCAGUUCUCGUUUUCUCUAUAGCUCUUUCUGUUUCUUUUGAUAGGGUUUCCACUUAUAGUAGUGAACUAGACUUUGGAACCAUGGUGGAUUUCCAAAAAGAGGUCAAACUUAUGAUGCAGGCUGACAAGUAAAUGCAGAAAGAACUUCUUCGGAGGAGCAAAUUUUGAGUCGGCAGACUCUUUGAUCGCAUCCUUCUUUAUGGGUAUGAGUUGUCGUCUUCCUUCCCUCUUCAAACCCUACUCAUAGUCCCUAUAAACGGGAUAUACCAGGUG